Molecule: transfer RNA, 85 nt
Filed under: Felis catus (domestic cat)
Lineage: Eukaryota; Metazoa; Chordata; Mammalia; Carnivora; Felidae
Rfam family: tRNA
About the family: Transfer RNA (tRNA) molecules are approximately 80 nucleotides in length. Their secondary structure includes four short double-helical elements and three loops (D, anti-codon, and T loops).
Source: Rfam by way of RNAcentral
ACCUGGGUGGCUCAGUUAGUUAAGCACCUGACUUCGGCUCAGGUCCUGAUCUCGCGGUUCGUGGGUUCAAGUACCACCUUGGGCU